RNAcentral lists this transfer RNA (74 nucleotides) under Loxodonta africana (African savanna elephant). It matches the Rfam family "tRNA". From Rfam's summary of the family: Transfer RNA (tRNA) molecules are approximately 80 nucleotides in length. Their secondary structure includes four short double-helical elements and three loops (D, anti-codon, and T loops). Lineage: Eukaryota; Metazoa; Chordata; Mammalia; Proboscidea; Elephantidae. The record is from Rfam by way of RNAcentral.
CCCUGCGUGGUAAAAAUGGCUAAUGCAUUCAGCUGCUAACUGAAAGGUUGGAGGUUUGAGUCCACCCAGAGGCA